This 462-nucleotide ribosomal RNA is filed under the name uncultured bacterium. RNAcentral's name for it is "partial 16S ribosomal RNA". It matches the Rfam family "Bacterial small subunit ribosomal RNA", at positions 28 to 507 of the family's 1533-position model. The record is from RNAcentral.
GACGAACGCUGGCGGCGUGCCUAACACAUGCAAGUCGAACGGAAAGGCCUUUUCGGCGGUCCUUGAGUGGCGAACGGGGGAGUAACACGUGGGUGUUCUGCCCUGCACUCUGGGAUAAGCCUGGGAAACUGGGUCUAAUACCGGAUAGGACCGCACUUAGCGUGUGUGGUGGAAAGUUUUUUCGGUGUAGGGUGAGCCCGCGGCCUAUCAGCGUGUUGGGGGGGUAAUGGCCUACCAAGGCGGCGACGGGUAGCCGGACAGAGAGGUUGGUCGGCCACAUUGAGUCUGAGGUACGGCCCAGACUCCUACGGUAGGCAGCUGUGGGGAAUAUUGCACAAGGGGCGCAAGCCUGAUGCAGCGACGCCGCGUGGGGGAUGGCGGCCUUCGGGUUAUAGACACCUUUCGGCAGAGACGAAGCGUUUUGUGACGGUACCUAGAGAAGAAGCACCGGCUAACUACGUG